GCAUUUUCAUGUGAUGAGUGAAACUUUAAUAUGCACGCUUUUGUUCACGGCUUUCGUCGAGGAAACGCAAAGAAAAUAUUCUUUACGGAAUUUAAGGCCUUUAAUAGAAAAAUAGAUCGAGGUAGGUAAAGCUUUGUUGUUUUUAAUUUAGCUUAUAUUCUGUUAUUUGUUAUUAUUUUGGUGCCGUUGUGCUGGCACUGAUAUUUAUUUAUCAAUUAUCGGCAUUAUCAGGCGUUUAUGUUUGUGAAGGGCCACGCUGUCAGAAUUUUAAUUUUUUAUAUGCCCAAAUUGAAACGAAGCCAUUGUGCUAGCACUGAUUAUAUUGUGUGUAAAACUUCAAAUUUCAAAACUACAUCACAUUCUGUAAAUAUUAAUAUGAACUUUAAUAUAUUGUAUACUGAAAUUUAAUACAACGAAAUAGCAUUCUACUUCGAUAAUUUCAAUCAUAGUCGAGAUCAUAGAUUAAUAAUUAUUUUCAAUCAUUAUAGUAAUUCACGCUUUCCACGGUUUUUUAUACUUUCAGUAAGCCGGAGUAAAGCUAAAUUUGAAGGAAAAUAUAAGCAUUGUUUACUUCGAAUAGUCAAUCAGUGAUAAAACCUUGACCUGUUGACCUUGAUAUUACCGUCCCUUGCAACUACAGAUGAACAGUCGCGAAAAGUUUGAAAAAGUUUUGUUAUUUUGACAUAAUAGCUAUUCAGUUUCAAUAAAUAUAUUGAUGUUAAAUUUAUUGAAUCAAUAUGUUAAGUUUCAGGCCAGUUGUACCAAAAUUUAUAAGCGCUUGCGCACCAUAAAGGUGGAUUUCCACUCAGUGCAAAAUGUCGUGCGAUCGACAUUUUGCAAUCACUUUCUGAAAUACAAGCAAUCAAACACAACGGAUCAGGUUGACUGAACGUGUUUCAAAAGAAAGUUAUCCCAAAAAGUUGAUCUUGCGAUAUUUUGCACUGAAUGGAAAUCGGCCUGGGGCCGGUUGUAUCAAGCACGUUUAGCUUAAACGGUGGAUAAGUCAAAUUAAUUAAAUAACACUCUUAUAUCUCUCGUGAAUCAGUUAGCUUAAAUAUUCUGCACUGAAUAUGUAGUUACAAACAAUAUCAUUCUAUUAAGGUUCAAAACUUUUAGUUUGGUUGUUGAAUGGAUCUAUAGACUUGCUUUCUAUUUGCAGCUUAACCACCGUUUAAGCUAAACAGGCUUGAUACAACUGGCCCCUGAAGGCUUUAGUCACAGAAUAGAUACUAGACCAGAAGGGACACUCCUAUGUGUAAUGUGUUUUGGCUUGGAAAAAACGUCCGAAAUUUUUUAUGUGCUAUGACGCCAUCCUGGAGUGCACACGGCACUUUGUACCUAUGUUUGUACCCAUGAAAAACUUCUGUGGUGUACUCCAGGAUGGCGUCUUUUCACAUCAGCACUUGUCGAGUGACACUUCUGGUCCAUUCUCCAGUGCCUUUUUUAACUAUAUAUCUGGGGGGGGGGGGCAAAUGCCCCCCCCCAGGGAAAGAAUCCUCCCCCCCAGUAAAGCCAUUUCUGCCCCCGAAGUGCGAAGCAGAAUUGCUCAUGAUUGCUGUCAGAAUUGCAGUUGAUUUACUUGAUAAUGAGAUUAUGCCCUUCCAUAGCCUCCUCCACAGCCAUCUUGUGUGUAAUUCAUAUUGUUCUUCACCGAGUAUUUCAUAAUAGUGAUAGAUUUCAUGCAAACAAUCCGAUAAAAUGCUGGUUCCAAGAAGAAUAGAUUUAGUUUAGAUUUUUAACUGUUAAAUACAUGUAUGCAUCAUCAUAGCAUGAAUAUUUCUUCUCAGAUUUAUUCUGUAUCGUAUGAAAAAGCAACGCAAUUUUGAGAAUGCGGAAAUGGUGUCUCAUAGAACCUAAAAUGAUUUAAAUGCAACAUAUCUGAUCAAAAUCACAUUGGGAUGCCCCCCCCCCCGGCCGGAUCACAGAGAGGAAAUAAGGUGACACUGACCCCUCCUCCUAUUUUCAAGGUGACUUUUCCAAUUUAUUUAAUUCCGAGUACAAAUGUCUGGAAAAAUUCAUGUCUUCGAUGUACUUUAUAAUCUUCGGAACUCUUCGGAAUUUCACUCCCAAAAUGCUUGAAAUCGCAAUUCAGGGACCCUAGAUUUCAAAAUUUUCCCAGAAGUGCAUGCCCCCGGACCCUCCUAGACGGUCUCACGCUUUCGGCGUGAGGUUCGCCCCCCAAAAAAUUAAGGUCUGGCUACGCCACUGGUUAUAGCUGUACGAUUAUAGCUACAAAGAGUUGAAGUUAUUGUUUAUAUAGGUGAAGUUAAUAAAUUAAAGUUUUACAAAAUCACUCUUCAGACUCGCGCGUUCGCCAAACCUCGAUGGCUCAUAUUUUUCGUUCUGCCUUUUUUCCCCCCCCCCCCCAGUGAAAAUUCCUUAAAAAAGGCACUGCCAUUCUCUAUUCUGUGCUUUAGUUGUCCUAUGAUUUAUCACGAUAAGAUACAUUUCACUACACUUUACAUAGCGGAUCGCGGAACAUGGGCGGAGCCACUGGGCGAAGGAGCGCGGCGGAAAAGGCAACUAAAGCCUCUGCAGAAGAGAGAGGGCAUGCAACAUGUACGCACUGCGUACCUAUUUUUUUUUUAUUUUGUUACAUUUUGGCGGGAAAAUGACGUGCCAACUUUGGCGCCAAAAAAUUAAACACGAGCUAGGAACAUGCUAAGAACUUUUUUGAAGAGAUUGUCCUAUAAUUUAUUAAGGAUCUCAGAACUGUAAAAACAUUGAAAAUACGCCAAAGCAGUGCAAAGAUAUGGUGCUUAAAAAUCCGAAAAAUCCGACAUUUUGUUACUAAAAAUAGAUUUUUUUCGAACUUUGAAUCGCUAUAUCUUCGUACUGCCUUGUUGUAUUUUUAAUGUUGUUACAGUUUUGAGAUCCUUAUAGGACAGUCUCUUCAAAACAGUUCCUAGCAUGUUCUUAGCUCGUGUUUAAUUUUUUGGCGCCAAAGUUGACACGUCAUUUUCCCGCAAAAAUGUAACAAAAUCUAAAAACAAAAACAAUAGGAUUUUUAGGAAUGGUUUCAAGUUCUAUCCUGUGAGGAAAUUUCGUGAUAUUCCAAAAUAACGACUGAAAGUUAUUUGUACGUGGCCGAAUUUGCUGUCUUUUGUGCCCACCGUGGUCGGCCUUUUGUAUGACUUAUUCUGUGACUCCGUCCUCCGGACGUCGUGUUUUUACACAAUUUUUCGUUUUCCCAAUUUCCACUCGUGUUGAUAUAACUGUAAAUCAACACGGAAAAUACAUACCUCUUAUAUAUUGUUGUUGUUACAGGAUAAUUACGCAACGGUUAACAUAAAGGAACCAGUUCCUCAGGAAUUUGUUCGUUUACUGAUACGAAAACAAGGGAGUGAUAAUUUCCGAAAUAUAGAGACUCAGUGUGGCGUAAAAAUUACCUGGCCAAAAUUCAGUGGAACAGAAAAACAUGUGAUUUUUGACAUCAUAGGUUUGAGGUCGAAUUGUGACCGUGCAAAAGAGAUGCUCAGGACAAAUCUAGUAAG
Molecule: non-coding RNA, 3494 nt
Organism: Paramuricea clavata
Lineage: Eukaryota; Metazoa; Cnidaria; Anthozoa; Malacalcyonacea; Plexauridae
Source: the annotation of a GenBank genome assembly